UUCCAGUUGCUUGUAAUCUUCAUCGCUAAUGUUAUACUUGCCCUUGAGCCCGAUCUGCUGUUCUUUCAGUUUUCCACCCUGCUCCAUUUCAAACUCGGACUCGAGGGCAUCGAAGACAGCGGCUCCCACCAGCAGGCCUAGAAAUUCAAGUGAUGGAAGAUAGCCUUCUCAAUCUUCAAGAUCAGGACUAGAUUUGGAGUGGUUAGUCUGGAAGACUGAAGUGUAGUAUUGAAUUGAAGCAAGAGCGCGGGUUCGUUGCUCGUGCUGGCUGAGUUACCGGAAUGUAACCGUCGUCCAGGAUGUUGCUCCAUGGUCAAUCUUAAUACACAACCUGAGGUAAAGUCAUGAGGUUAUAUAAUAAUGGACCCACGUUUAAGCCUGUCCUCAACAGAUGCUCAUAUACUUUCGGCAGCAGAAACCUGAGUAAAUAUUCUUCACUCAAAAGGAACAUCGAGGUCAAUUCGAGUGCUUUCAGAUGAUUCCGCUGAACUUAAAGUAAUACAGAAACAGGUCGAAGGACGAUAUUGGGUUUCAGCCAGCAAUUCAUCGAAGGAGAGGCCAUCUGGGGAACUGGGCCGAUCAUUCUGACUCGGACCAGUGGGUAGCAAGAUUCCUUUUCGAUAUUACGCUUGCAUUGAAUGCAACUGUGUCAUUUGAUGGCACCAUUCUCUAAAAAUACUCUCCAAACUGCUUUAUUAGUGAUAUGGUUACUAUGUGUUUUGCUAUUUGCUGACUGCAUGUAACUUUUGUUAGGACGUCCUGGUCAACGAGAAGAGAAAGGCAGUGGUGAAAUGCCGGCAUCCCUCAUACCUAUGAAUAUUCGGGAAGAAUUCGAUUCCAUUUCAUAGUAUAUAAUUUGGGGCUACGAAUCCUCUCCGGCUGUAUGAAAUGAUUUAAUAGGACAGUCUCUGAAAUCAUAAAGAUAAUUAGAAAGGAAUAUAGUCUAUUACAAGCUGGAGUAAAUUUGUGGGAGAAAAUUCACCUUGAGGAUGUUUAUCCAAUAAUAGCAAUUGGAAGAUAGAUUAAUUUAAUCCUUACGUAGUUUGGAUUAAGUUAGUAAAGUUCCAUGCGAUCAGGUUAUGGGAUAUAUUGCAUUUGUAAGCAAAUGGUACAAAACUGUAUUGGUUAUUUGGUGGGGAAACUAUCUCAGAUCGAGCGGCAUGCUGUGAAUACAGCUUUUUGUCUGUAUUAAAGGAGUUAACUAGUCAGGAAAAUGCCUACGACCGAUUUUACAAACAUUGGAUACGUAAUUAGUGGGUUGCAUGUAUCUCUCCCGAUAAAACGAGAUCUUCCACAUAUUCCGGCGGUUGUAAAGAAAACUAUAAGCCGGUUUGUGACAAGUAAGCGGAAUAAUCCAGUCAUCUUUCAGGGUAACUAGCUUUAUCCCAGAUACUCAAUUUGAAUUUCAGAAUGUGCCCUGGGAAAGUUAUCAAAAUGGCAUACUGGCUUUUGUCAGACACUAUGGAAGUGCAUGUCUUCGAAUAGAUAUACCUAACAAUGCUAGAACUACCUCAGAGCCCCAUACAAAGGAACAAAGAUGACAAUUUUCGACUGCCUGCUUAUUAGUUAAAUUGUGUCCAUAGUUAAUCGUUGGCCAAACAAUGAUUAUAAUCCAAGUUGUUUCUGCUUAACCUCUCGGGACCCAUCUUUUGCUUAUUCAAAUACGAAGUGCUGCGGACGCUGGAGAUUCGAGAUAAAAUAGAAAAUGCUGGAAGCAUUGGGCAGUACUGGCAGCAAGUCGGAGGAGGGAAACAGGCAAUGCUCCAGGAAUGUGAUUUUCCGUUCGAAUAUCUGUCUCAAUAGCCUCUCUCUUUGUCUUACACAUCUUUUUAUUACAUAUUCUGCCAUCCAUCCUAUCCCAGAACUUCUCGUCUCUUCUUUCUCUCCUUUCCUGACUUAUGCCAACUCUGUAGUUGCCUAAAAUUGGAUACUUCUUCAACUUUUUUUAAAGUUCUGACAGAAGGUCAUCGAUCUGAAUCGUUAACCCUUUCCUUUGUCAUAGAUGAGCCUGGCUUGUUGAAUAUGUCCAGAUUUUUUAUACAUCAGAUUUGUAGCCACUUCAGUAUUUGCCCACUGUGCUACUUUCUAUCCAGUUUAUAUUGUGGCCUAGACAAGAAGCAGGUGAACAUUGCUAUCCUAAUGCUACGUAACUUUAGUUACUCUUGCAACAGUCGACCUACCUGUAUGUUUUGUGUUGGAUGCAACCAGUAGUUACAUCCGAUUAAGGACUUGGUCUUCAAACUACCCUUUAUGUGUUCCCUACAAAGUUACCCUUACUUGCAAGUGUCAGGGUAAACGAGAACAUUUGGGAGAUAAGAAAAUGGUGCCAUAAGAAGUUUGUGGGACCGUCUACAUCUUAACUUGUCUGCAAUAAUUCACUGCUGUGUGCCACACUACCUCCAAUUACACAGCAAGUGAGAAAUAUGUCAAACCUUCUCGUAAGCAAUAUUUGCUUGAAACCAGUGUGUGCUUUUGCGAAAUGCUGUGAUGUCGUCUGGCCUAGCUGGUCUACGCCUCAAAUAAGUAAACAGUAUUAAUUUGAUACCCCACACAAACUCUGAAGAAGAAAUGAUUUUUGCUCCCCCUUGAUCAAGUCUUAUUUCACCUGCAAGAAGAUGGCAAAUCGAUGGUUUUCAGAAAAAAAUUGGCAUCUUGACACCCGGCAAUAACAAUAGCGACAAUCACAAGAAAAUUCAUGAUUAGGCUCAUCCCCUUUCACCUACUAAAGAAGACCAUGGUAGAGCAUUGAGUGAUUCUCAAAUCAGUCAGGCGUUCUGACAAUCACAAUCUUGACAGUGUUUUCCGAAUUGAUCACUCUGGCGGCUGCCUUAAAAUUGUCACCUCAUGAUCAAAGCAAUAAAUUUUAUAAUAAUUGUCAGCAUUUACCUUUUCUAUGCUGUCCACUGUCAGCCAUAUUUCUAAAAUCACUUCUUAGAAAUCUUCUUCAUGGCUAAGGAACCCAAGACUAGCUAUUUUUCCUCAUAACAAAGGCUUCAUAGACAGAGGUCAGUCUUGCCUUCUUUGCAUAUCUCCAGGCAGUGAAUACACUGCACACCACCCCUCAUAUUUAUGUUUUCGUGCCUAGAGUUUGACCAAUGUACUUUACAAUUUAAUCAACAUUUCCGCUGAGUUGUAUUUUGAUAUUUUAGCUAGUUAUUACAGUACUUCAUUGGUUUUAUUGAUUACUGCUUUGUAUUGGUGAGAUGUUUUUGAACAUUGAUACUAAUCCUCCUGUUUUCAACAUUUUUGAUGAAU
Stegostoma tigrinum is the source of this 3255-nucleotide long non-coding RNA. RefSeq lists it as uncharacterized. The transcript is spliced from 3 exons. NCBI's taxonomy places the organism in Eukaryota, Metazoa, Chordata, Chondrichthyes, Orectolobiformes, Stegostomatidae. The record is from RefSeq and is a predicted model, not a curated record.